RNAcentral lists this ribosomal RNA (497 nucleotides) under uncultured bacterium. RNAcentral's name for it is "partial 16S ribosomal RNA". It matches the Rfam family "Bacterial small subunit ribosomal RNA", at positions 28 to 507 of the family's 1533-position model. The record is from RNAcentral.
GAUGAACGCUGGCGGCGUGCCUAAUACAUGCCAGUCGAGCGAACAGAUAAGGAGCUUGCUCCUUUGACGUUAGCGGCGGACGGGUGAGUAACACGUGGAUAACCUACCUAUAAGACUGGGAUAACUUCGGGAAACCGGAGCUAAUACCGGAUAACAUAUUGAACCGCAAGGUUCAAUAGUGAAAGGCGGCUUUGCUGUCACUUAUAGAUGGAUCCGCGCCGUAUUAGCUAGUUGGUAAGGUAACGGCUUACCAAGGCAACGAUACGUAGCCGACCUGAGAGGGUGAUCGGCCACACUGGAACUGAGACACGGUCCAGACUCCUACGGGAGGCAGCAGUAGGGAAUCUUCCGCAAUGGGCGAAAGCCUGACGGAGCAACGCCGCGUGAGUGAUGAAGGUCUUCGGAUCGUAAAACUCUGUUAUCAGGGAAGAACAAAUGUGUAAGUAACUGUGCACAUCUUGACGGUACCUGAUCAGAAAGCCACGGCUAACUACGUG